RNAcentral lists this ribosomal RNA (459 nucleotides) under uncultured bacterium. RNAcentral describes it as "bacterial SSU rRNA". It matches the Rfam family "Bacterial small subunit ribosomal RNA", at positions 29 to 534 of the family's 1533-position model. The record is from RNAcentral.
AACGAACGCUGGCGGCAUGCCUAACACAUGCAAGUCGAACGAAGCCUUCGGGCUUAGUGGCGCACGGGUGCGUAACACGUGGGAAUCUGCCCUUCGGUUCGGAAUAACAGUUAGAAAUGACUGCUAAUACCGGAUGAUGACAUAAGUCCAAAGAUUUAUCGCCGAAGGAUGAGCCCGCGUAGGAUUAGGUAGUUGGUAGGGUAAUGGCCUACCAAGCCGACGAUCCUUAGCUGGUCUGAGAGGAUGAUCAGCCACACUGGGACUGAGACACGGCCCAGACUCCUACGGGAGGCAGCAGUGGGGAAUAUUGGACAAUGGGCGAAAGCCUGAUCCAGCAAUGCCGCGUGAGUGAUGAAGGCCUUAGGGUUGUAAAGCUCUUUUACCAGGGAUGAUAAUGACAGUACCUGGAGAAUAAGCUCCGGCUAACUCCGUGCCAGCAGCCGCGGUAAACGUAGCGUG